UACAGAGGUCUCAAGCGUUGUUCGGAUUCAUUGGGCGUAAAGGGUGCGUAGGCGGCGCGGUAAGUCGGGUGUGAAAUCUUGGAGCUUAACUCCGAAACUGCAUUCGAUACUGCCGUGCUUGAGGACUGGAGAGGAGACUGGAAUUUACGGUGUAGCGGUGAAAUGCGUAGUUAUCAGGAGGAACACCGGUGGCGAAGGCGGGUCUCUGGGCCGAUACUGACGCUGAGGAGCGAAAGCGUGGGGAGCGAACAGG
Molecule: ribosomal RNA, 253 nt
Filed under: uncultured bacterium
Lineage: Bacteria
Description: partial 16S ribosomal RNA
Rfam family: Bacterial small subunit ribosomal RNA
Source: RNAcentral